This is a long non-coding RNA of Equus caballus (horse), 1890 nucleotides long. The record is from Ensembl. Lineage: Eukaryota; Metazoa; Chordata; Mammalia; Perissodactyla; Equidae.
GUUUCUGUGUCCUGGCAACAUCUCAUACAAAGGCGGCUGAUAUGCCAUUUGUUUUCAGCGCUUAACUCGCCCAUUUGGAACUUCAGCUUCUGCCACAUUUCCACCUUGCCAACCCGGCUCAGACGGAAUGCCUAGGUCUUACCCCUAAGCAACGGGGGUGAGGCCCAGAAGACUGUGCUUCCACAUGCUUAGCAGGAGCAGACAAUAGGCUUUUUACAAACCGCCAUUGUGCACUGUGUCAGAGAGUGUCAGAAUGCACCUAUGUCAGAAAGGGCCCUUUGCUCUCAGCCGUGCCCUGCAUUGCUCUAGAGGUGGAAGGCACAAAGCACUGCCUCCAUCCUUCAAUGGGAGACAAGCCAUAAACUGUCUUGCCUCCAGCUCUUUAGGAAGCUGACAAACAACUCGCUUGCCACAGUCCUGUUACAGCAGACUGGGAACUUCUCAUACAAAGGCAGGUCAAAUGGCAUUUCUUCCCAGCUCUUAACUCGCAGCUUUAGAUCUUCUGCUUCUGCCGCAAUUCCACCUUGCCAACCCAGCUCAGACAAAAUGCCUACAUCUUCCCUUUAAGCAACUGGGCUGAGUCCCAAAUGAUUGUGCAACCAUGUGUUUAGCAGGAGAGAGACAAUACGCUUUCAACCAACCACAGUUGACCACUGGUGGAGAGAGUGUCAGAAAACGCCUAUGUCAGAAAGGCCCCUUUGCUCUCAGCCAUGCCCUCCAUUGCUCUAGAGGUGGAAGGCACAAGGCACUGGUUCUGGAUCCACCCCUCAAUGGGCGACAAACCUCAUCUUGUCCUGCUUCCAGCUCUUUAGGAAGUGGAGAAAAAACUCCCUUUCCACAGUGCUCUUACAGCGUCCUGGGAACAUCUCAUACCAAGGAGGCUGAACGCCGUUUCUUUUCAGCACUUCACUCGCCAGUCUGGGACAUCUGCAUCCUGCACAUUUCCACCUUGCCAACCCGGCUCAGACGAAAGGCCUAAAUCUUCCCCUUGAGCAAUGGGGAUGAGGCCCGGAUGAUUGUGGUUCCACAUGCUGAGGAGGAGAGAGUCAAUAGGCUUUUAAGUAACCACCAAGUGCAAUGGUUGGGAGAGUGUCAGAAAGCACCAAUGGCAGAAAGACCCCUUUACUCUCAGCCGUGCCCUCCAUUGCUGUAGAGGUGGAGGGCACAAAGCACUGCCUCCAUCCUUCAAUGGGAGACAAGCCAUAAACUGUCUUGCCUCCAGCUCUUUAGGAAGCUGAGAAAGAACUCGCUUUCCACAGUGCUGUUACAGCAUACGAGGAAACUCUCAUACAAAGGCAGCUCGAAUGCCAUUUCUUCUGAGCGCUUCUCUCGCCACUUUAGGACGUCUGCUUCUGCCGCAGUUCCACCUUGCCAACCCGGCUCAGAUGAAAUGCCUACAUCUUCCCCUUAAGCAACUGGGCUGACCCCCAAAUGAUUGAGCAUCCAUGUUCUUAGGAGGCGAUAGACUGCACGCCUUUUUCCAACCACCAUUGUGCACUGCUGGAGAGAGUGUCGGAAAGCAGCUAUGUCAGAAAGACCCCUUUGUUCUGAGCCGUGCCCUCCAUUGCUCUAGACGUGGAAUGCACAAUGCACUGGCUCCCCCCCUCAAGGGGCGAGAAGCCACAUACCAUCCUCCUUGCAUCCCUUGAGGAAGCUGAGAAAGAACUCGCUUUCCACAGUGCUGUUACAGCAUAGGAGGAAACUCUCAUACAAAGGCAGCUCAAACGCCAUUUCUUCCCAGCGCUUAACUCGCCGCUUUAGGACUUCUGCUUCUGCUGCAGUUCCUCCUUGCCACCCGCCUCAAACGAAAUGCCUACAUCUUCCCCUUCAGCAAACGGGACGAGGCCCAGAUGACUGUGCUUCCACUUGCUUAGCAGGAGCAGAAAAUAG